RNAcentral lists this ribosomal RNA (253 nucleotides) under uncultured bacterium. RNAcentral's name for it is "partial 16S ribosomal RNA". It matches the Rfam family "Bacterial small subunit ribosomal RNA", at positions 524 to 776 of the family's 1533-position model. The record is from RNAcentral.
UACGGAGGGGACUAGCGUUGUUCGGAAUUACUGGGCGUAAAGGGCUCGUAGGCGGCCAACUAAGUCAGACGUGAAAUCCCUCGGCUUAACCGGGGAACUGCGUCUGAUACUGGAUGGCUUGAGUUUGGGAGAGGGAUGCGGAAUUCCAGGUGUAGCGGUGAAAUGCGUAGAUAUCUGGAGGAACACCGGUGGCGAAGGCGGCAUCCUGGACCAACACUGACGCUGAGGAGCGAAAGCCAGGGGAGCAAACGGG